Molecule: ribosomal RNA, 104 nt
Filed under: Bryoria sp. Wang 04-23206
Lineage: Eukaryota; Fungi; Ascomycota; Lecanoromycetes; Lecanorales; Parmeliaceae
Description: partial 28S ribosomal RNA
Rfam family: Eukaryotic large subunit ribosomal RNA (bases 19-104)
Source: RNAcentral
CCCAUCUAUUUCAAUCAUUGACCUCGGAUCAGGUAGGGAUACCCGCUGAACUUAAGCAUAUCAAUAAGCGGAGGAAAAGAAACCAACAGGGAUUGCCUCAGUAC